UGAGGAAUAUUGCGCAAUGGGGGCAACCCUGACGCAGCGACGCCGCGUGGGUGAGGAAGGUUUUCGGAUCGUAAAGCCCUGUCAGGUGGGAAGAAGUGUUAUACGGUUAAUACCCGUAUAAUUUGACGGUACCACCAGAGGAAGCACCGGCUAACUCCGUGCCAGCAGCCGCGGUAAUACGGAGGGUGCAAGCGUUGUUCGGAAUUACUGGGCGUAAAGGGCGCGUAGGCGGCCUGAUAAGUCAGAUGUGAAAGCCCACGGCUCAACCGUGGAAGUGCAUCUGAAACUGUCUGGCUUGAGUAUUGGAGGGGAAAGUGGAAUUCCAGGUGUAGAGGUGAAAUUCGUAGAUAUCUGGAGGAACACCGGUGGCGAAGGCGACUUUCUGGACAAAUACUGACGCUGAGGCGCGAAAGCGUGGGGAGCAAACA
This 428-nucleotide ribosomal RNA is filed under the name uncultured bacterium. RNAcentral's name for it is "bacterial SSU rRNA". It matches the Rfam family "Bacterial small subunit ribosomal RNA", at positions 355 to 774 of the family's 1533-position model. The record is from RNAcentral.